GAAAAGAAACCAACUGGGAUUACCUUAGUAACGGCGAGUGAAGCGGUAACAGCUCAAAUUUGAAAUCUGGCUCCUUCGGAGUCCGAGUUGUAAUUUGUAGAAGAUGCUUUGGGCUGUAGGUUCGGCCUAAGUUCCUUGGAACAGGACGUCAUAGAGGGUGAGAAUCCCGUAUGCGGCCGAGGCUUGCGCCCAUGUAAAGCUCUUUCGACGAGUCGAGUUGUUUGGGAAUGCAGCUCAAAAUGGGUGGUAAAUUUCAUCUAAAGCUAAAUAUUGGCCAGAGACCGAUAGCGCACAAGUAGAGUGAUCGAAAGAUGAAAAGCACUUUGGAAAGAGAGUUAAACAGUACGUGAAAUUGUUGAAAGGGAAGCGCUUGCAACCAGACUUGGGCGCUGCGGAUCACCUCGGGUUUUCUCGAGGGCACUCGGUAGCGCACAGGCCAGCAUCGGUUCGGGUGGCUGGAGAAAGGCCGUUGGAACGUAGCUCCCCUCGGGGAGUGUUAUAGCCAACGGUGCCAUGCAGCCCAGCCGGACCGAGGACCGCGCCUUCGGGCUAGGAUGCUGGCGUAAUGGUUGUAAGCGACCCGUCUUGAAACACGGACCAAGGAGUCUAACAUCUAUGCGAGUGUUUGGGCGUGAAAACCCACACGCGGAAUGAAAGUGAACGUAGGUGAGAACCCUUCUGGGGCGCAUCAUCGACCGAUCCUGAUGUCUUCGGAUGGAUUUGAGUAAGAGCAUAGCUGUUGGGACCCGAAAGAUGGUGAACUAUGCCUGAAUAGGGUGAAGCCAGAGGAAACUCUGGUGGAGGCUCGCAGCGGUUCUGACGUGCAAAUCGAUCGUCAAAUUUGGGUAUAGGGGCGAAAGACUAAUCGA
Molecule: ribosomal RNA, 869 nt
Filed under: Erysiphe necator (grape powdery mildew)
Lineage: Eukaryota; Fungi; Ascomycota; Leotiomycetes; Helotiales; Erysiphaceae
Description: partial large subunit ribosomal RNA
Rfam family: Eukaryotic large subunit ribosomal RNA
Source: RNAcentral